This 73-nucleotide transfer RNA is filed under the name Simkaniaceae bacterium. RNAcentral describes it as "tRNA-Arg". It matches the Rfam family "tRNA". Rfam says of the family: Transfer RNA (tRNA) molecules are approximately 80 nucleotides in length. Their secondary structure includes four short double-helical elements and three loops (D, anti-codon, and T loops). Further hydrogen bonds mediate the characteristic L-shaped molecular structure. tRNAs have two regions of fundamental functional importance: the anti-codon, which is responsible for specific mRNA codon recognition, and the 3' end, to which the tRNAs corresponding amino acid is attached (by aminoacyl-tRNA synthetases). tRNAs cope with the degeneracy of the genetic code in two manners: having more than one tRNA (with a specific anti-codon) for a particular amino acid; and 'wobble' base-pairing, i.e. permitting non-standard base-pairing at the 3rd anti-codon position. The record is from RNAcentral. Lineage: Bacteria; Pseudomonadati; Chlamydiota; Chlamydiia; Parachlamydiales; Simkaniaceae.
GCACCGGUAGCUCAAUGGAUAGAGUACCUGGCUUCGGACCAGGUGGUUAGGGGUUCGAAUCCCUUCCGGUGCA